RNAcentral lists this ribosomal RNA (230 nucleotides) under uncultured bacterium. RNAcentral describes it as "partial 16S ribosomal RNA". It matches the Rfam family "Bacterial small subunit ribosomal RNA", at positions 118 to 348 of the family's 1533-position model. The record is from RNAcentral.
UGAGCAAUCUGCCCUUCUCAUCGGAAUAAGCGUUGGAAACGACGUCUAAUGCCGAAUACGACCUCCUUUCGCAUGAUCGGAGGUGGAAAGCUCCGGCGGAGAAGGAUGAGCUCGCGGCCUAUCAGCUAGUUGGUGUGGGUAAUGGCUCACCAAGGCGACGACGGGUAGCCGGCCUGAGAGGGUGACCGGCCACACUGGGACUGAGACACGGCCCAGACUCCCUAGGGAGG